GACGAACGCUGGCGGCGUGCUUAACACAUGCAAGUCGAACGUGAUUUUUGUGGAAAUUCUUUCGGGAAUGGAAAUGAAAUGAAAGUGGCGAACGGGUGAGUAACACGUGAGCAACCUACCUUACACAGGGGGAUAGCCGUUGGAAACGACGGUUAAUACCGCAUGAGACCACAGAAUCGCAUGAUAUAGGGGUCAAAGAUUUAUCGGUGUAAGAAGGGCUCGCGUCUGAUUAGCUAGUUGGAAGGGUAAAGGCCUACCAAGGCGACGAUCAGUAGCCGGUCUGAGAGGAUGAACGGCCACAUUGGAACUGAGACACGGUCCAAACUCCUACGGGAGGCAGCAGUGGGGAAUAUUGCACAAUGGGGGGAACCCUGAUGCAGCGACGCCGCGUGAGCGAAGAAGGUUUUCGAAUCGUAAAGCUCUGUCCUAUGAGAAGAUAAUGACGGUAUCAUAGGAGGAAGCCCCGGCUAAAUACGUGCCAGCAGCCGCGGUAAUACGUAUGGGGCGAGCGUUGUCCGGAAUUAUUGGGCGUAAAGGGUACGUAGGCGGUUUUUUAAGUCAGGUGUGAAAGCGUGAGGCUUAACCUCAUUAAGCACUUGAAACUGGAAGACUUGAGUGAAGGAGAGGAAAGUGGAAUUCCUAGUGUAGCGGUGAAAUGCGUAGAUAUUAGGAGGAAUACCGGUGGCGAAGGCGACUUUCUGGACUUUUACUGACGCUCAGGUACGAAAGCGUGGGGAGCAAACAGG
RNAcentral lists this ribosomal RNA (746 nucleotides) under uncultured Parvimonas sp. RNAcentral describes it as "bacterial SSU rRNA". It matches the Rfam family "Bacterial small subunit ribosomal RNA", at positions 28 to 776 of the family's 1533-position model. Lineage: Bacteria; Bacillati; Bacillota; Tissierellia; Tissierellales; Peptoniphilaceae. The record is from RNAcentral.